AAGUCGUAACAAGGUAACCGUAGGUGAACCUGCGGUUGGAUCAUUAACAAAAAAAAAUUGGAAGGUAAGAGGAAGGUGCUUUUGCGAGCUCUUUCUUUUACUUUUUAAACACCAAUUGUGAACCUGUAUUAUUGUUUCUUUUCUGUGUUGUGUAAAAGUGGUAUUCGUUUACUACUUUUUAGGCCAGAAAAAAUCAUUUUUUAAACAUAAGAAUUUAAACCAUUUUGACCAUUAAAUAAAAGUUUGAAAUUUUUUUUUAAACAUUAAAUAAAUUAAAAAAACAACUUUUGGCAACGGAUCUCUAGGCUCUU
RNAcentral lists this unclassified non-coding RNA (311 nucleotides) under fungal sp. RNAcentral's name for it is "partial internal transcribed spacer region". The stretch from base 1 to 46 matches the Rfam family "Eukaryotic small subunit ribosomal RNA", at positions 1786 to 1831 of the family's 1831-position model. The record is from RNAcentral. Lineage: Eukaryota; Fungi.